RNAcentral lists this ribosomal RNA (496 nucleotides) under uncultured bacterium. RNAcentral's name for it is "partial 16S ribosomal RNA". It matches the Rfam family "Bacterial small subunit ribosomal RNA", at positions 28 to 506 of the family's 1533-position model. The record is from RNAcentral.
GAUGAACGCUGGCGGCGUGCCUAAUACAUGCAAGUCGAGCGAACGGACGAGAAGCUUGCUUCUCUGAUGUUAGCGGCGGACGGGUGAGUAACACGUGGAUAACCUACCUAUAAGACUGGGAUAACUUCGGGAAACCGGAGCUAAUACCGGAUAAUAUUUUGAACCGCAUGGUUCAAAAGUGAAAGACGGUCUUGCUGUCACUUAUAGAUGGAUCCGCGCUGCAUUAGCUAGUUGGUAAGGUAACGGCUUACCAAGGCAACGAUGCAUAGCCGACCUGAGAGGGGGUUAGCGCCCACUGGGGAUGUGACACGGGCCCGACACCCCCGGGGGGCGCAGGGUGGGGAACUUCCCCACUGGGCGAAAGCCCGACGGGGCCCCGCCGCGUGUGGGAGAAGGGGCCCCUGGUCGUGAAACUCUUUUUUUUGGGGAAAAAACAUGUGUAAAUAACUCUGCGCACCUUUAGGGGACCUAAACAAAAAGCCCCGCCGAAAUCUGU